Molecule: transfer RNA, 82 nt
Filed under: Spathaspora arborariae UFMG-19.1A
Lineage: Eukaryota; Fungi; Ascomycota; Pichiomycetes; Serinales; Debaryomycetaceae
Description: tRNA-Ser (CGA) (tRNA-Ser-CGA-1-1)
Rfam family: tRNA
About the family: Transfer RNA (tRNA) molecules are approximately 80 nucleotides in length.
Source: RNAcentral
GACAGUGUGGCCGAGUGGUUAAGGCGACUGACUCGAAAUCAGUUGGGAUUUUCCCGCGCAGGUUCAAAUCCUGCUGCUGUCG